Molecule: ribosomal RNA, 398 nt
Filed under: uncultured Cedecea sp.
Lineage: Bacteria; Pseudomonadati; Pseudomonadota; Gammaproteobacteria; Enterobacterales; Enterobacteriaceae
Description: bacterial SSU rRNA
Rfam family: Bacterial small subunit ribosomal RNA
Source: RNAcentral
AACGCGAAGAACCUUACCUACUCUUGACAUCCAGAGAACUUAGCAGAGAUGCUUUGGUGCCUUCGGGAACUCUGAGACAGGUGCUGCAUGGCUGUCGUCAGCUCGUGUUGUGAAAUGUUGGGUUAAGUCCCGCAACGAGCGCAACCCUUAUCCUUUGUUGCCAGCGGUUCGGCCGGGAACUCAAAGGAGACUGCCAGUGAUAAACUGGAGGAAGGUGGGGAUGACGUCAAGUCAUCAUGGCCCUUACGAGUAGGGCUACACACGUGCUACAAUGGCGCAUACAAAGAGAAGCGACCUCGCGAGAGCAAGCGGACCUCAUAAAGUGCGUCGUAGUCCGGAUCGGAGUCUGCAACUCGACUCCGUGAAGUCGGAAUCGCUAGUAAUCGUAGAUCAGAAUG